RNAcentral lists this ribosomal RNA (253 nucleotides) under uncultured bacterium. RNAcentral describes it as "partial 16S ribosomal RNA". It matches the Rfam family "Bacterial small subunit ribosomal RNA", at positions 524 to 776 of the family's 1533-position model. The record is from RNAcentral.
UACGAAGGGUGCAAGCGUUAUUCGGAAUUACUGGGCGUAAAGCGUGCGUAGGCGGUUUGUUAAGUCCGCUGUGAAAGCCCUGGGCUCAACCUGGGAAUUGCAGUGGAUACUGGCAAGCUAGAGUGCGGUAGAGGAUGGUGGAAUUCCCGGUGUAGCGGUGAAAUGCGUAGAGAUCGGGAGGAACACCCGUGGCGAAGGCGGCCAGCUGGACCAGCACUGACGCUGAGGCACGAAAGCGUGGGGAGUAAACAGG